This is a non-coding RNA of Cucurbita pepo subsp. pepo (vegetable marrow), 347 nucleotides long. NCBI's taxonomy places the organism in Eukaryota, Viridiplantae, Streptophyta, Magnoliopsida, Cucurbitales, Cucurbitaceae. The record is from RefSeq and is a predicted model, not a curated record.
CCGCCAGCCGUACGAUCUUCGUCGCUGAUCCUUCCAGAUUCAUCUCGUUUUCCACUGAACUUGACAGAGCUGUUAUGAGCAAAUUGAUGUAAGAGUUGAAUACUUGCAGAACUCCUUCCAAGAUCAGAUCAGUGACAGAAAUACUUCAAAACUGGGCUCAAGAUAAAUCGCAGAUCAGAUCAGUGACAGAAAUACUUCAAAACUGGGCUCAAGAUAAAUGAGCUUUGGUUGUGAGACGACACUGCUCAGCGACGAAGUUGAAGACGACCCCGGGAAAAAUCGAGAAGAAAGGGGGGAAUAAGCAAGCAACCAAUCAUCUGAUGCAGCCAAGGCAGCACUGGUCUGUU